UCUCUCAUAUACAAUUCUCCAUACUCAAAAUAUUUAUUCAAUUCUCUACGGAUAGCUUUGAAACUCUCUUUUUCACUACAAAAAUUGGAGAAUCUUGCUAAAAAAUAGAAGAAUUGAGGUGGAGUUUGAGCCGGAGGCUGCAACGGUGGUGGCGGCAUCAAGGGUUUGACUUGUCAGGUGUUGGUGCUUCUUCGAUCGGACGGGUAAUCGAACUUGGUUAUAACUGCAACACCUAGGCAGAUGGAGAGUUUAAUACGACUUAGUGAAGCAUUGGCACGGAUGCAUUUCUCUGAAUUGGUUGAGAUGCGAGAUGUGACUGAAGCUAUUCGACUAUUAGAAGUUGCAUUGCACCAAACAAAAACUGAUCAUCCCCCAGGUAAAGGAGAAGAGUGCAGCCGCGAAGAAGGCUGCAGAGGGACAUUUAUAUCAUCAAAAGCGUGCUCGUAGAGGAUAUUCUAGCUUAGACACCAACAACUUCAAGCACAUCCGCUAAUAUAGCUCUACCCCACAGAGUAGUAGUAAAUAGUCAGCAGCAGUAACUCAGUAAGCUGCUGUCAGCAGCAGCAGCUGACCAAUUCUCCUUUUGUUGGUUCUUAUUCUAGCUAGUGACAUGAGGUUCCUUCAAGCUCAUCAAUUGUCAACCCUUUAGCAUACAUGUCUGUUGGAGUGUUCUUGUUGCAUUUACUUUUCACUUGGUUGGUUUUUGAAGAUUUGGACUAUGGACUUAAUGGAGCUUCUCUUACACUCAUUAUCUCUGGGCUACGUUGAAGGAACA
Molecule: long non-coding RNA, 775 nt
Organism: Spinacia oleracea (spinach)
Lineage: Eukaryota; Viridiplantae; Streptophyta; Magnoliopsida; Caryophyllales; Amaranthaceae
Exons: 4
Source: RefSeq, a predicted model, not a curated record